Molecule: ribosomal RNA, 396 nt
Filed under: uncultured beta proteobacterium
Lineage: Bacteria; Pseudomonadati; Pseudomonadota; Betaproteobacteria
Description: bacterial SSU rRNA
Rfam family: Bacterial small subunit ribosomal RNA
Source: RNAcentral
GAGUUUGAUCAUGGCUCAGGACGAACGCUGGCGGCAGGCCUAACACAUGCAAGUCGAACGCCCUAGCAAUAGGGAGCGGCGAACGGGUGAGUAAUGCAUCGGAACAUGUCCAUUGAUGGGGGAUAGCCCGGCGAAAGCCGGAUUAAUACCGCAUGAGCCCGAGAGGGGAAAGUGGGGGACCGCAAGGCCUCACGUCGAUGGGUUGGCCGAUGUCCGAUUAGCUAGUUGGUGGGGUAAAGGCCUACCAAGGCGAUGAUCGGUAGCUGGUCUGAGAGGAUGAUCAGCCACACUGGGACUGAGACACGGCCCAGACUCCUACGGGAGGCAGCAGUGGGGAAUUUUGGACAAUGGGGGCAACCCUGAUCCAGCCAUUCCGCGUGAGUGAAGAAGGCCUUC